CCCAGCUACUCAGGCUGAGGCAGAAGAACUGCUUGAACCUGGGAGGCAGAAAUUGCAGUGAGCCGAGAGCCACUCCACUCCAACCUGGGCAACAGAGCAAGACUCCGUCUCCAGAAAAAAAAGAGAGAGAAGGGGGUUAGGAUUGGAAUGGGACACACAAAAAGGACUUCUAAGGUAAGGAGCUGGUUGAAUUCAAGCAUGCAAAACCCAUGGGUAUAGAAGGCCAACUGUAAUAAUUUUGUCUGCUCCAUGAAGAAUAACGAAUAGACUCAAAGGGAUAAUCAAAGAAGCAGCAAGACCACUUAGGAAGCUCCUGCAAUCAUCCAGGAGAUUAUUUUAAACUUGAUGGAUCAAUCCUCUUAAGGAUAACGAAUUUGGAUUUGCAAGAAUUCAAGGCAAUUCCGGGCCCAGCUUUUUGGAGGUAAAUCCACUGAGCCGGUGUGUACCUCACAAUAAAUAUCCUCCUGUAUUCACGCAUACUGGUCUCUCUAAUCCUCUGCGUCCCGCAACAAGCUGAGAGCGCGCCACUGCACUUGCAGUCUUGCACAUAGCAAGACUAUGUCUCAACAACAACAAAAAAGGGUCUCGCUCUGUUGCCAAGGCUGGAGUGCAGUGGAGUGAUCUCGGCUCACAGCAACCUCAGCAUCCUGAGUUCAAGCACGUCUCAUGCCUCAGCCUCCCAAGUAGCUGGGAUUAUAGGCACGCGCCACCACACCAGGCUAAUUUUUGUAUUUUUUUUUUAUACUUUAAGUUUUAGGGUACAUGUGCACAUUGUGCAGGUUAGUUACAUAUGUAUACAUGUGCCAUGCUGGCGCACUGAACCCACUAACUCGUCAUCUAGCAUUAGGUAUAUCGCCUGAUGCUAUCCCUCCCCCCUCCCCCUACCCCACAACAGUCCCCAGAGUGUGAUAUUCCCCUUUCUGUGUCCAUGUGAUCUCAUUGUUCAAUUCCCACCUAUGAGUGAGAAUAUGCG
RNAcentral lists this long non-coding RNA (973 nucleotides) under Homo sapiens (human). Its description in RNAcentral is "HSALNT0354227". The record is from RNAcentral. Lineage: Eukaryota; Metazoa; Chordata; Mammalia; Primates; Hominidae.